This 460-nucleotide ribosomal RNA is filed under the name uncultured bacterium. Its description in RNAcentral is "partial 16S ribosomal RNA". It matches the Rfam family "Bacterial small subunit ribosomal RNA", at positions 338 to 795 of the family's 1533-position model. The record is from RNAcentral.
CCUACGGGAGACAGCAGUGAGGAAUAUUGGUCAAUGGACGAGAGUCUGAACCAGCCAAGUAGCGUGAAGGAUGACUGCCCUAUGGGUUGUAAACUUCUUUUAUAAAGGAAUAAAACGAGGCACGUGUGCCUUUUUGCAUGUACUUUAUGAAUAAGGAUCGGCUAACUCCGUGCCAGCAGCCGCGGUAAUACGGAGGAUCCGAGCGUUAUCCGGAUUUAUUGGGUUUAAAGGGAGCGUAGAUGGGUUGUUAAGUCAGUUGUGAAAGUUUGCGGCUCAACCGUAAAAUUGCAAUUGAUACUGGCAGUCGUGAGUACAGUUGAGGUAAGCGGAAUUCGUGGUGUAGCGGUGAAAUGCUUAGAUAUCACGAAGAACCCCGAUUGCGAAGGCAGCUUACUAAACUGUGACUGACAUUGAUGCUCGAAAGUGUGGGUAUCAAACAGGAUUAGAUACCCCGGUAGUC